RNAcentral lists this ribosomal RNA (443 nucleotides) under uncultured bacterium. Its description in RNAcentral is "bacterial SSU rRNA". It matches the Rfam family "Bacterial small subunit ribosomal RNA", at positions 28 to 507 of the family's 1533-position model. The record is from RNAcentral.
GAUGAAUGCUGGCGGCGCGCCUAACACAUGCAAGUCGAGCGGAAAGGCCCUUCGGGGUACUCGAGCGGCGGACGGCUGAGUAACGCGUGGGAACAUGCCCCAAAGUGAGGAAUAACUGCCCGAAAGGGUAGCUAAUGCCGCAUAUGAUCUUAGGAUUAAAGGAUUUAUCCGCUUUGGGAGUGGCCCGCGUACGAUUAGGUAGUUGGUGAGGUAAAGGCUCACCAAGCCCACGAUCGUUAACUGGUCUGAGAGGAUGAUCAGUCAGACUGGAACUGAGACACGGUCCAGACUCCUACGGGAGGCAGCAGUGAGGAAUCUUCCACAAUGGGCGAAAGCCUGAUGGAGCGACGCCGCGUGCAGGAUGAAGGCCUUCGGGUUGUAAACUGCUUUUAUAAGUGAAGAAUAUGACGGUAACUUAUGAAUAAGCACCGGCUAACUACGUG